Molecule: ribosomal RNA, 314 nt
Filed under: uncultured Ruminococcus sp.
Lineage: Bacteria; Bacillati; Bacillota; Clostridia; Eubacteriales; Oscillospiraceae
Description: partial 16S ribosomal RNA
Source: RNAcentral
GGAGUCUGGGCCGUGUCUCAGUCCCAAUGUGGCCGUUCAACCUCUCAGUCCGGCUACUGAUCGUCGCCUUGGUGAGCCGUUACCUCACCAACUAGCUAAUCAGACGCGAGCCCAUCUCUGAGUGAUAAAUCUUUGGUAGCAAAAUCAUGCGGUUUCGCUACAUUAUGAGGUAUUACCAUCCGUUUCCAGAAGCUAUCCCUCUCUCAGAGGCAGGUUGCUCACGUGUUACUCACCCGUCCGCCACUAAGAUUACAAAGCAAGCUUAGUAAUCUCCGUUCGACUUGCAUGUGUUAGGCGUGCCGCCAGCGUUCGUC